GGAAGGAUCAUUAACACGAGAUGCACGACACAAUAUCAUUCUGCUGUGCGAGGGAGUGGCUUCGGCCCUUCCUCGUAUCUUGAUACUAUACUCUCACUAUAUAUGUACAAGCUCAUAAAACAAACUAAGAAAAUUUUCAACGACGGAUAUCUUGGUUCCCACAACGAUGAAGAACGCAGCGAAAUGCGAAAAGCAAUGCGAAUUGCAGAAUUCCGCGAGUCAUCAGAUCUUCGAACGCACCUUGCGCCGACCGGAUCUCCGAUUGGCAUGCUUGUUUCAGUGUCUUGUUACGACUCACAAAUCAUAAUGUGAUUGACUGGGACUGAGUGAGCAAUCACUCUGCUUCCUGUCUCUCAUGAAGUGAGCGCUGGACCGACGAACCCGAUGCAGUAGUCACUCUCGCAGUGAUACUCAUUGGAACUCGGCGGAUUACUCCUGCGAACAAAAAUCAUAACAUCACAACGCAUCUGAGGCAAGCAAGAUCACCCGCUGAACUUAAGCAUAUCAGUAAGCGGAGGAAAAGAAAUUAACAAAGAUUGCCCCAGUAGCGGCGAGCGAAGAGGCAAAAGCUCAAGUAUAUAAUCUGAGGCGUUCCGCCUCCGAAUUGUAAUCUGAAGUGCAGGCCAGAAGGUGUGGGCGACGCAUAAGUGCCUGGAAAGGCACGUCGUAGAGGGUGACAACCCCGUGCAUGGCGUCGACCGCGCUGUAUGGAAUGCUACAAUGAGUCGGGUUGCUUGGGACUGCAGCCCAAAAUGGGAGGUAAACUUCUCCUAAGGCUAAAUAUUGGUGGGAAACCGAUAGCGAACAAGUACUGUGAAGGAAAGAUGAAAAGAACUUUGAAAAGAGAGUUAAAAGACUUGAAAUCGUUGAAAAGGAAGCGGUAGAAAAGUAUGAAUUGGUCAGGACUUUAGGACCGACAGGGGGUGCACUCGGAGUUUGCUGUACUUCAUAGGCACCUGUUUCGAAGUGUAAAUCCCCUGUGGCUGCGCUCCUGGCCAAAAGGUAACAUGAGGUCUAGCGAUCGGCAGAAUGCGGAUGGGAAGCCCCAGCAAUGGAAGCCCAGACGAGAUACCGACCGACAGGCCUGAGGGACGAAAGUGAUGUUGCCGAAAUGGUUUCUACCGACCCGUCUUGAAACACGGACCAAGGAGUCUAACACGUACGCGAGUGUGCGAGUGAACCAAACUCAUACGCGAAAUGAAAGUGAAAUCAAGGUGUGAACCGCAAGGCGCAACACCGACCGACCGAAGCUACGGCGACGGCUUGAGUAAGAGCGUACUUGUUAGGACCCGAAAGAUGGUGAACUUUACUUGAGUAGGGUGAAGUCAGGGGAAACUCUGAUGGAAGCUCGUAGCGAUAUUGACGUGCAAAUCAUUCGUCAAACUUGAGUAAAGGGGCGAAAGACUAAUCGAACCAUCUAGUAGCUGGUUCCCUC
This 1435-nucleotide unclassified non-coding RNA is filed under the name uncultured fungus. RNAcentral describes it as "sequence contains 18S rRNA gene, ITS1, 5.8S rRNA gene, ITS2, 28S rRNA gene". The stretch from base 463 to 1435 matches the Rfam family "Eukaryotic large subunit ribosomal RNA", at positions 1 to 961 of the family's 3401-position model. Lineage: Eukaryota; Fungi. The record is from RNAcentral.